GCGGCCUAUCAGCUUGUUGGUGGGGUAACGGCCUACCAAGGCGACGACGGGUAGCUGGUCUGAGAGGACGAUCAGCCACACUGGGACUGAGACACGGCCCAGACUCCUACGGGAGGCAGCAGUAGGGAAUCUUGCUCAAUGGGCGAAAGCCUGAAGCAGCGACGCCGCGUGCGGGAUGAAGGCCUUCGGGUUGUAAACCGCUUUCAGCAGGGACGAAAUUGACGGUACCUGCAGAAGAAGGCCCGGCCAACUACGUGCCAGCAGCCGCGGUAAUACGUAGGGGCCUAGCGUUGUCCGGAUUUAUUGGGCGUAAAGAGCUCGUAGGCGGCUUGGUUAGUCAGGUGUGAAAUCUCCACGCUCAACGUGGAGGGGCCACCUGAUACUGCCAUGGCUUGAGUCCGGUAGGGGAGUGUGGAAUUCCCGGUGUAGCGGUGAAAUGCGCAGAUAUCGGGAGGAACACCCGUAGCGAAGGCGGCACUCUGGGCCGGUACUGACGCUGAGGAGCGAAAGCGUGGGGAACAAACAGGAUUAGAUACCCUGGCAGUCCACGCCGUAAACGUUGGGCACUAGGUGUGGGACUCUAUCGACGGGUUCCGUGCCGUAGCUAACGCAUUAAGUGCCCCGCCUGGGGAGUACGG
Molecule: ribosomal RNA, 638 nt
Filed under: uncultured bacterium
Lineage: Bacteria
Description: bacterial SSU rRNA
Rfam family: Bacterial small subunit ribosomal RNA
Source: RNAcentral